Molecule: long non-coding RNA, 1089 nt
Organism: Oncorhynchus tshawytscha (Chinook salmon)
Lineage: Eukaryota; Metazoa; Chordata; Actinopteri; Salmoniformes; Salmonidae
Source: Ensembl
GGGGUUAACUGGUCUAGGAACAGUGGGUUAACUGGUCUAGGAACAGUGGGUUAACUGGUCUAGGAACAGUGGGGUUAACUGGUCUAGGAACAGUGGGUUAACUGGUCUAGGAACAGUGGGCUACCCUGGCGCCCCACAGUAAAAUGAGUUGUUUUUACUACAAACAUUACAAUUAUUAUUGAUGAUUAUCAUAAUUGCUAUGGAUUUUACAUUUUCAUAUUAGUAUUAUUAGUAUUAUAAUUACGAUUUGUGUAAUUACACUUUCUCGCAUUUGUCACAAGAUAACAUUAACACUCUAUGGAGGUUAAAUCCUUAAGUAAUAUGGAUCCUCUGAGAUGCCAGAAAGCUCUUAAAAAACGAUCUGUCCUGGUCCCUGACAAUAGAUCCCUAAGAACUGUCCUGGUCCCUGACAAUAGAUCCCAAUAGAUCCCUAAGAUCUGGCCUGGUCCCUGGCAAUAGAUCCCUAAGAGCCAGAGGAUCCGGUUAAAGAAAUUAUAUAAUUGUUAGUUAUUAAAAGCAUUACUGUUACUAAACCAUCAUAGUUGUUACACUUUGUCCCAUGAUAUCUUUAUUAACAGGAUAACCUGGGGAAUUGUGCAUCUCCAAUGACAUGUCAGAAAGUGCUUAAAAAAAGGAUCCCUUCUAAUUCCUGAAGCCAUAGAUCCCUACUAAUCCCUGAAGCCAUAGAUCCCUACUAAUCCCUGAAGCCAUAGAUCCCUUCUAAUCCUUGAGGCCAUAGAUCCCUGAUAUCCCUGAAGCCAUAGAUCCCUUCUAAUCCCUGAGGCCAUAGAUCCCUUCUAAUCCCUGAGGCCAUAGAUCCCUACUAAUCCCUGAAGCCAUAGAUCCCUUCUAAUCCCUGGGGCCAUAGAUCCCUUCUAAUCCCUGAGGCCAUAGAUCCCUACUAAUCCCUGAGGCCAUAGAUCCCUUCUAAUCCCAGAGGCCAUAGAUCCCUACUAAUCAGUGGAUCCCUAUUUAAGCAGAAAUAACCCUGAUUAAAAACAGAGCUCAAUUUUCUUGGAAUCUUAUUGAUUUAUGACACCCGAUAAGGCCUUAGUGGGUUAGGAUUAGUUUAUUGAUUUAUGACACCCG